GUGUAAUACCCCUCGGCGGACUGAGGACCGCGCAUCUGCAAGGAUGCUGGCGUAAUGGUUGUCAGCGACCCGUCUUGAAACACGGACCAAGGAGUCGUCCUAAUAUGCGAGUGUUCGGGUGUAAAACCCCUACGCGUAAUGAAAGUGAACGGAGGUGAGAGCUUCGGCGCAUCAUCGACCGAUCCUGAUGUUCUCGGAUGGAUUUGAGUAUGAGCAUAUUGGGCCGGACCCGAAAGAAGGUGAACUAUGCCUGUAUAGGGUAAAGCCAGAGGAAACUCUGGUGGAGGCUCGCAGCGGUUCUGACGUGCAAAUCGAUCGUCAAAUAUGGGCAUGGGGGCGAAAGACUAAUCGAACCUUCUAGUAGCUGGUUUCCGCCGAAGUUUCCCUCAGGAUAGCAGUGUUGAAUUCUCAGUUUUAUGAGGUAAAGCG
Molecule: ribosomal RNA, 429 nt
Filed under: Lomentospora prolificans
Lineage: Eukaryota; Fungi; Ascomycota; Sordariomycetes; Microascales; Microascaceae
Description: Scedosporium prolificans Eukaryotic large subunit ribosomal RNA
Rfam family: Eukaryotic large subunit ribosomal RNA
Source: Rfam by way of RNAcentral